This 211-nucleotide unclassified non-coding RNA is filed under the name plant metagenome. Its description in RNAcentral is "partial contains small subunit ribosomal RNA, internal transcribed spacer 1, and 5.8S ribosomal RNA". The record is from RNAcentral.
UUUCCGUAGGUGAACCCGCGGAAGGAUCAUUCAUAAUAAAGUGUUUUACGGCACUUUUUAAAAAUCCAUAUCCACCUUGUGUGCAAUGUUAGAUCUCGUCAAUCUUGGCGAGAUUUUUAUACAUCAACUCAUUCUUUAACUAAUUUGUCUGAAAAAUAUUAUGAAUACUUAAUUCAAAAUACAACUUUCAACAACGGAUCUCUUGGCUCUC